RNAcentral lists this transfer RNA (69 nucleotides) under Mus musculus (house mouse). RNAcentral describes it as "tRNA-Ala". Lineage: Eukaryota; Metazoa; Chordata; Mammalia; Rodentia; Muridae. The record is from RNAcentral.
GGGGUUUUAGCUCAGUGGUAGAGCACUUGCCUAGCAAGCACAAGGCCCUGGGUUCAGUCCUCGGCUCUG